UGGGGAAUAUUGGACAAUGGGCGCAAGCCUGAUCCAGCCAUGCCGCGUGGAUGAUGAAGGCCUUAGGGUUGUAAAGUCCUAUUAACGGGGAAGAUAAUGACGGUACCCGUAGAAUAAGCCCCGGCUAACUUCGUGCCAGCAGCCGCGGUAAUACGAAGGGGGCUAGCGUUGCUCGGAAUUACUGGGCGUAAAGCGCACGUAGGCGGCUUCUUAAGUCGGUGGUGAAAUCCUGGAGCUCAACUCCAGAACUGCCUUCGAUACUGGGAAGCUCGAGUCCGGGAGAGGUGAGUGGAACUGCGAGUGUAGAGGUGAAAUUCGUAGAUAUUCGCAAGAACACCAGUGGCGAAGGCGGCUCACUGGCCCGGUACUGACGCUGAGGUGCGAAAGCGUGGGGAGCAAACA
RNAcentral lists this ribosomal RNA (402 nucleotides) under uncultured Rhodoplanes sp. RNAcentral's name for it is "bacterial SSU rRNA". It matches the Rfam family "Bacterial small subunit ribosomal RNA", at positions 355 to 774 of the family's 1533-position model. The record is from RNAcentral. Lineage: Bacteria; Pseudomonadati; Pseudomonadota; Alphaproteobacteria; Hyphomicrobiales; Nitrobacteraceae.